RNAcentral lists this ribosomal RNA (374 nucleotides) under uncultured organism. RNAcentral describes it as "partial 16S ribosomal RNA". It matches the Rfam family "Bacterial small subunit ribosomal RNA", at positions 527 to 896 of the family's 1533-position model. The record is from RNAcentral.
GUAGGUGGCAAGCGUUGUCCGGAAUUAUUGGGCGUAAAGCGCGCGCAGGUGGUUCUUUAAGUCUGAUGUGAAAGCCCCCGGCUCAACCGGGGAGGGUCAUUGGAAACUGGGGAACUUGAGUGCAGGAGAGGAAAGUGGAAUUCCACGUGUAGCGGUGAAAUGCGCAGAUAUGUGGAGGAACACCAGUGGCGAAGGCGGCUUUCUGGCCUGUAACUGACACUGAGGCGCGAAAGCGUGGGGAGCAAACAGGGAUUAGAUACCCUGGUAGUCCACGCCGUAAACGAUGAGUGCUAAGUGUUGGGGGGGUUUCCCGCCCCUCAGUGCUGCAGCUAACGCAUUAAGCACUCCGCCUGGGGAGUACGGUCGCAAGACUG